Molecule: ribosomal RNA, 439 nt
Filed under: uncultured bacterium
Lineage: Bacteria
Description: partial 16S ribosomal RNA
Rfam family: Bacterial small subunit ribosomal RNA
Source: RNAcentral
CUACGGGAGGCUGCAGUGGGGAAUAUUGCACAAUGGGCGAAAGCCUGAUGCAGCAACGCCGCGUGGAGGAUGACACAUUUCGGUGCGUAAACUCCUUUUAUAUAAGAAGAUAAUGACGGUAUUAUAUGAAUAAGCACCGGCUAACUCCGUGCCAGCAGCCGCGGUAAUACGGGGGGUGCAAGCGUUACUCGGAAUCACUGGGCGUAAAGAGCAUGCAGGCUGGAUGACAAGUUGGAAGUGAAAUCCUAUGGCUUAACCAUAGAACUGCUUCCAAAACUGUCUUCCUAGAGUAUGGGAGAGGUAGAUGGAAUUUCUGGUGUAGGGGUAAAAUCCGUAGAGAUCAGAAGGAAUACCGAUUGCGAAGGCGAUCUACUGGAACAUUACUGACGCUCAGAUGCGAAAGCGUGGGGAGCAAGCAGGAUUAGAUACCCCAGUAGUC